This 263-nucleotide ribosomal RNA is filed under the name uncultured bacterium. Its description in RNAcentral is "partial 16S ribosomal RNA". It matches the Rfam family "Bacterial small subunit ribosomal RNA", at positions 793 to 1055 of the family's 1533-position model. The record is from RNAcentral.
GUCCACACUGUAAACGAUGGAUACUAGGUGUGGGAGGUAUCGACCCCUUCCGUGCCGGAGUUAACACAAUAAGUAUCCCACCUGGGGAGUACGACCGCAAGGUUGAAACUCAAAGGAAUUGACGGGGCCCGCACAAGCAGUGGAGUAUGUGGUUUAAUUCGAAGCAACGCGAAGAACCUUACCAGGGCUUGACAUCCCAAUGACCGCUCUAGAGAUAGAGCUUCUCUUCGGAGCAUUGGUGACAGGUGGUGCAUGGUUGUCGU